UACGACCUACGGGGGGCAGCAGUAGGGAAUCUUCCACAAUGGACGAAAGUCUGAUGGAGCAACGCCGCGUGAGAGAAGAAGGGUUUCGGCUCGUAAAGCUCUGUUGGUAGUGAAGAAAGAUAGAGGUAGUAACUGGCCUUUAUUUGACGGUAAUUACUUAGAAAGUCACGGCUAACUACGUGCCAGCAGCCGCGGUAAUACGGAGGGGGCAAGCGUUGGCGGGAUUUAUUGGGCGUAAAGCG
RNAcentral lists this ribosomal RNA (242 nucleotides) under uncultured bacterium. Its description in RNAcentral is "partial 16S ribosomal RNA". It matches the Rfam family "Bacterial small subunit ribosomal RNA", at positions 334 to 567 of the family's 1533-position model. The record is from RNAcentral.